UACGUAGGGUGCGAGCGUUAAUCGGAAUUACUGGGCGUAAAGCGCACGUAGGUGGCGACGUAAGUCGGGUGUGAAAGCCCCGGGCUCAACCUGGGAAUUGCAUUCGAGACUGCAUUGCUGGAGUACGGAAGAGGAGGGCGGAAUUCCCGGUGUAGCGGUGAAAUGCGUAGAUAUCGGGAGGAACAUCAGUGGCGAAGGCGGCCCUCUGGUCCAGUACUGACACUCAAGUGCGAAAGCGUGGGGAGCAAACAGG
RNAcentral lists this ribosomal RNA (253 nucleotides) under uncultured bacterium. RNAcentral's name for it is "partial 16S ribosomal RNA". It matches the Rfam family "Bacterial small subunit ribosomal RNA", at positions 524 to 776 of the family's 1533-position model. The record is from RNAcentral.